UCCAGUCGUGCGAAGUGAGAGUGGCUUACCGGACUGAGCGAGCCAGCGAGGUAAAACAAGCAAACGAGAGGCACGAGGGGCAGCUACCACUCGCGGCCGCCUGCAACGCGAGCUCGCGGUGGCGGUGGCGGGACGCCCCGCGCCCCUGGCCCCUCAAAGGCGGCGACUACAUCGAGGGCAGGGUGGGAGCGCGCUGUACCUCGACUCGGGUCAGUCAAGCAGCGACCCGUGGUACCCGAGCGAGGGUGCCUUCGAGCUGCUCGAGGACCGCUGGCCGGUGACCCGAGACGCUCCCCGGCACCAGUACCUACCCUAGUUCGUGGACCGGCGGCUGGAGGUGCUCGACGUCUCGGAGGACGACUUGGAGAGCUUGCGCGUCCUGGGAGGGCACCGCCGCCCCACGACCUGCUUCCUCCACGCGCUCGACAGGAUGCUGCACCUCAUGACGCGACUGGCUAAGCAGGUGCGGCGGCUCUGUGCGUCCGCUGGACGAGCCGCAUUUCGGUCGCAGCGAGCCGACUUCUAAUCGGCGGAAGGCUCCUCCGCCUCCACCGAGGGCACCUAGUUGCCGUCCCAGGACCUCAAGUCCCGGGCUCGCGUCCUCCGGUCGCUCUCCAUGACCUCCAUGGUCAAGCUACUAACGCGGAGGCCAGGACUUAUGAGAGGACGACGACCGGCACGACACGCGCGCCUCGGACCACUAGUACAUCCGUACCUUCCGGGACAUCCACUCGAGGUGGCCGCCGACUGACUACCUCUCCUCGUCGAGUUCCACCAUCGUUAGCAGCCACAACGUCCGUAACCAUUUUGGUGCGAACGGGACUUUAACAACCCAUUCGAGGUCCCUGUCAAGCUCACGCGGCGGAAACACGCCUGUCGUGUUUUCGGGUUAUACUCCCCCUAGUAGUCGUCAUAUGAGAGUGUUCAAGCAGGCGUGGUUGACGGCCUGGGACGGCUGUACGUGGUGGAGUAGGCGCUAGAGUCACUUGUAGAUGUUCUAUUCUCCAUGAAGUAACAUUAACUACUGAACACCCGAUGUAGUCACACCCUACAAGAAUCAGCACGAAAAGGUCUCCCAUCAAGUACGUCAUCUUAUCAUUGAUGUUGACUUUAAUAUCUUCAUCGAGCCCGUACGACACCAAUAGAGGGACUGGUAUAAAAAGUCUACCUUAAAGAAUCACUCCUACUGAGUGUUUUUGAUAACGAGGUUUGUUAAGAGAGUCUUUUAGUUUCAGGAGUUGUAAAGCUAGUGCAAAAUGGAGUAUAAAACUCUUUUACACCACCCAACGGUGAUCGUUAGUAAUACCAUCGGUCGGAAAAUCGUUCGGCUGGACUCUUUGAUCUAGUUGACCCGAAACACGUCUCAAGAGAACCAAGUUUAUACGCCAACGUCCGUGUAGGACGGUACCUUUCCAAAUACCUUGUUAAUAACUUGUAAUCCAAGCUAACAGAAGGUGUAAUAAACUUCUGAACGGACGAAAUAGAAUCAUGAACAGGUCUCCCGAUGUAUAAGAACUUCCUACUAAACCACUUCGUUACCGAUCGACUCCUAAAAUAUACACGUGUUAAUCCCUUUCUGUACCUCCUUCAACGAUCUUCGAUAAAACUACUCGAACAGUCAUACCCGGACUAGGUUCAAUACCUAUAGUUGAUGUCAAUACUCGAUAACAGAAUAAGUCAGGUGGUAUACCAAGAACUAAAAUAGUGUACGUUCAGAUAACUUCUCUUGAAGUAGUGACAUCACCUAAUAAGAGUUUGUCGUUACGAUGAAGGACUAUUUCAAGCGGCUAACAGCGAGGUCAAACCGUCACGUUGUAUACGUUGAUGUGGUCGUUCAUGGUCUAAUAGUGUUCAAGCUAGUGAGAAGAAAAAACCUGACAAAUUGACGUACGGAAGUAAUUACCACAAAUUCAAAGAAGCUCAAGAUUUGGAAGCAGAACCCCCGCUAGAACCUUUAUACUCAAACCUGGAAUGUUCUUAAUCACUUGACAAAGCUGACUCUAUAAACGUCCAGUGUACAUCACGGUAACACUUCAAUGGUCUAGUCUAACUUCGAUACUUUGUAAACCUUUGUGACCUUUAUUUAAGUUCUCAUACGCGGUAAGGAGGCCUGUAACAAGCGGAAGGCUCGAACAACGUAGAGACAGAAGCUCCACCUUGUUUAGAUGGACUGUCCUAACCGGUAUAUUCUAGAGAUGCAUGUGAUUUCAUAAAACUGGAACCACUAUUGAGGCUUCUGUUAAAUACCUCGGAACCGCUCGACUGUUUGGACGCCCUAGAUGUAAAGUGUAUAAGAUCUAAUGGUAGAUCACUUGUAAACUUCUCUUUAGACUAUCGAGACCGGAGAAGUGAACUCUUUGAAACAUUGGAGUUUAGACAGUGAGACCGAGGACCACGACGUCCGUACCAACAAGAGAAACUACCGAGCUCGCCGUACAGGAGAGGAGGUCAGAAGGAACUCUCCGAACUCGACAACGGCGGGUAUACGUAGAAAAGGUCUAAAGGGUUCACCUAACCUGUUGAGGCGUUUUAGACGUAAAACUUUCAACGACAAUUUCUUGACGACUGCUUACUAUAACUAUAGGAGUGUCCUAAUGGGAGGGAGUGUCAGGAGAGCAACACCCAGGUCUGACGGGGACUCCCUCUUUAGUAGAAGUUGCUUCCCCGCGAGGGUCAAGAGUUCAUAAAGCUCAAAUCCACACUGCAUGAAACAGACCGAAAGUACCGUCCUCGUUACGGGUUAGAAGCCUCCUAGUUCGAUCGAAAGUUAUGACUAUAGUCCCUCUUCAUGUCGUUAUACGAACGGCCUUAGCUCGUGGAAAAUUUGGAGGUCCUGCAGUGACCUGUUUAACCCCAUCAAUGACUUAGACUGUCUUCCCGACGACUUAGUCGUAAGUUCCUUCGGUAAUCGUUCGUAGGUUACAGGAGAUCUAGAUCGUAUGUUACCCACCUAGGUCAACUCUUUCAUAAGGCAGGAAGUCUCUUUGUCAUAAACUCCGCUCCUUCUCCAAGUAGUCUACUUUGCGUACCCCCAGAUCUCUUUCGGCUUCUACGCUAGUUUGUACGAUUCUCUCCAUUUUGAAGAAGGCGACCCGACCUAGACCUGGUGCUACAGUUCCGGAUGUCUUGGAGAACAAGUUCGCGAAAAAAGGGAGUUUUCGCGCAGUCUUGUGCGAAGAAAACGUAAUCUUCUUUCCGGUGGUUUUACACCGUUUCGAUGUGUUGGUGGUUCCCACCGUGACUGGCUUGACUUUUGUUCUUUCUCGUCGUUUUUGAUGUCUGGGGCGAUUUAAUACAUGUUUCCUUUUUGGUUGUCGUUUCGAGAGUAAGUUCACGAAGUCAACCCUUAUUCUGUCUCCUGCGUUUUAACAAGUCAUGGUGAAGAAGUAGUAGUUUAAACGUUUCGUAACUUCAAUCAGUAGUCCAUCGAUGACUUGCACUUCUCGUCUACAACGGCCUGAGGUACCUUGUCCUCACAGACCUAUCGUCGGUCAGACCCCUCGUUUAACGACGACUCUGACCACACGUGAGAGUCCAGAGAAGAGGGAGUAGCACAAGAGAGAGUAGUCGUUCCGUGGUGCUUCUUCUCGUACGAAGACCCGAGUUGAAUGGACCUCUUCAGUGCCACUACUCGAGUUUGUAGUAGAACUUCGUCCUAUAAGAACGAUUCCAAUUUCUUGUACUUCUUGUUUAACGAGCAAAUUCUUACGUGGAACAACUGAUAAGUCACUUCCUUAGGGUGUAUGAAUUACUCUUUGAACAAAACCUUUUUGCAUAACGUGUAUACGCUUCCCUUAAACUAGUCGUGGUUGUUCUAAGGGAACUACGGCGUAGUUUUCGAAACAGAAUGUCUGUUCUGUAAUAACUCCUUUUAGAGGUAGACCGUAUGAGUGAUGUCCGUCGUGCGGCUUCCUCUAGUUUAAAACAUGAAAGAAACUACGGAGAAGACAGUCGUGUAUUGGACGCCGGAAGACAAGGGCUACGAGUUAGUUAACAAUCGUUAGAUUUCCAAAACAAAUGCGUAAACGUUCUCUUUGAGCGAUAAUGACUCCUCUUUGUCUUCCUUGAUGUCAUGGUCUAACGAGCCGCACGACUUAGAAGGUUAUAAUACCGUGUCUGUGGAAGACUAGGAGGACCUUUACGUAACACGGUUUGGCCGGAACUGUAACACGGGGUCGUUCGUAUAGGAGUACAUGUCGCAGGUUAAAGGAUAGGGCAAGCUCGAUCUGCCCUAUCCCCAAAUAACCGUUUACUCUUGGCAGUCUAGGAGGGUUGGUUCCGACGAGACUGUCUGUGACUCGUGCUGUUACAACCUUCCUGGAGAGGAGGUUCUUCGUUGGUUAAAUGGUUCAUACCACAUCGUUUUCUUUGACUCGCGCUAAGAGCACGACCUGCUAGGGCACGACAUGCUAAAUUGAAACUUAGGUUCCUAGUUUUGGGUAGUAAGUUCCUGGGACAACCCCCACUACAUUGUUUUUUUGAUCUUCCUCGACUUUGGGUUUGAAGUGCUCUUGGAGGACGCCUCACCUCAGGAGUUCCGGGUGGAUUAAACCGUAGACAGGAACUGCCACCCUUGGACAGAAUGGGAAUGGAAGGAUGACAGGAACUCCUCGGAUCAAGAAGAAAAAGACUUCGACACCUCCUACUGGGUGAUGGUCGGUAUCUACCCGAUUCUUAGUGUCCACUUCGAAAAGGACCUUCACUUGAAGUUCGUUCACCCAUAAGGUCGUUACCCUGGUGUUCAACAAUAAAACUCACCCAUGCGGUAAACCUUCUACCUAGCCAUUUAAUGUAUCUUCCACGUUUCGUUGGGUGUAUAAAUCAAUGACGACUACUACACCUAAGAAAUGAUCGGUAUCUCCAGGUCGGAGAUCUACUGGCUUUUUCUUUCCCCCUCUAGCACUUCCAAAUACGAUUACUCGUCUCUUUUUAAUGAACGCUAGGACUUUACUUCCUCGAGUAGCUCUUUUAAGAAAGUUAACCCGUACACAGAAUACUUCAAGACGAUGGACAAUUUAAAUAUUUAUACACCCUAGGACGGAAUAACCGUUAUUUGUCCCUUCCAAUGUCGUAAUUCACAUUACCUGUCGCACCACAACAAUACUGUCUCUUUAAGGCCGUUCGAUGCUGAUAGUUAUAGGGUAUACCCGCAGGGUGACUUAAAAGUUAGGUCAGACGAUUCCCACGACUCAUGUUAGAGUUCGGACGUUUUUCAAGGGGUAGUGCUCUACGGUAGCAAGAUUAUGACUCCGACAUGUCUUACUUCCGAGAACUCUUCUCGUUCCCUUCCUUUUUCCCCUAGAAGAAGUUCAUCUCAUGGCACCCAAGUUCUGCAAUAAGACAAAAGGGUAUCUUUUCUUCAGCACCUUGGUCUAUCGUCGUGACGUCUGGACUUCUUCAAACCUCAUCUGGCUCUCAGGAGUUACGUCGACCUAUGGGCCGACUCUCUUACAUUUUCGUACUUGUUACACGAAAGGACUUUCUUACGAAGGUCCCACGUCUACUACCACGUAUGCGUAGUGACCUGGUAGAUGCAGAUGUAGGAAGACUUUCUACCACGUCAAGUACACUAGGUUCCGUCUCCCUGCGGAGAGUUCAAUGGAGUUGCUAGCUUCUAGCUUCGAUCAACGGAGUUGCUAGACAGCUGAUCUCGAGGAUCAAAGGAAAAAAGUAGAAGAGAAGAUUAUUUCUAGUAAACUUGAAUAAGCGCUUAUAACC
This 5718-nucleotide ribosomal RNA is filed under the name Triticum aestivum (bread wheat). Its description in RNAcentral is "partial small subunit ribosomal RNA". The record is from RNAcentral. Lineage: Eukaryota; Viridiplantae; Streptophyta; Magnoliopsida; Poales; Poaceae.